AACGUCGUGAGACAGUUCGGUCCCUAUCUGCCGUGGGUGUAGGAGAAUUGAGAGGAUCUGUCCUUAGUACGAGAGGACCGGGAUGGACGUACCUAUGGUGGACCUGUUGUGGCGCCAGCCGCAUAGCAGGGUAGCUAAGUACGGACGGGAUAACCGCUGAAAGCAUCUAAGCGGGAAACCCACCUCAAAACGAGUUCUCCCUUGAGAGCCGUGGAAGACGACCACGUUGAUAGGCCGGGUGUGGAAGUGCGGCAACGCAUGGAGCUUACCGGUACUAAUAGCUCGAUCGGCUUGAUCAC
RNAcentral lists this ribosomal RNA (299 nucleotides) under Bauldia sp. Its description in RNAcentral is "partial 23S ribosomal RNA". It matches the Rfam family "Bacterial large subunit ribosomal RNA", at positions 2615 to 2925 of the family's 2925-position model. The record is from RNAcentral. Lineage: Bacteria; Pseudomonadati; Pseudomonadota; Alphaproteobacteria; Hyphomicrobiales; Kaistiaceae.